UACGUAGGGUGCGAGCGUUAAUCGGAAUUACUGGGCGUAAAGCGUGCGCAGGCGGUCGUGCAAGACAGAUGUGAAAUCCCCGGGCUCAACCUGGGAAUUGCAUUUGUGACUGCACGGCUAGAGUGUGUCAGAGGGGGGUAGAAUUCCACGUGUAGCAGUGAAAUGCGUAGAGAUGUGGAGGAAUACCGAUGGCGAAGGCAGCCCCCUGGGAUAACACUGACGCUCAUGCACGAAAGCGUGGGGAGCAAACAGG
Molecule: ribosomal RNA, 253 nt
Filed under: uncultured bacterium
Lineage: Bacteria
Description: partial 16S ribosomal RNA
Rfam family: Bacterial small subunit ribosomal RNA
Source: RNAcentral